Molecule: small nuclear RNA, 306 nt
Filed under: Castor canadensis (American beaver)
Lineage: Eukaryota; Metazoa; Chordata; Mammalia; Rodentia; Castoridae
Description: 7SK RNA (ENSCCNG00000007032.1)
Rfam family: 7SK RNA
About the family: 7SK was discovered as an abundant small nuclear RNA in the mid-70s but a possible function has only recently been suggested. Two independent studies have found that 7SK RNA binds the CDK9/cyclin T complex (known as elongation factor P-TEFb).
Source: Rfam by way of RNAcentral
GGAUGUGAGGGCGAUCUGGCUGCGACAUCUGUCACCCCAUUGAUCGCCAGGGUUGAUUCAGCUGAUCUAGCUGGCUAGGUGGGUGUCCCUUCCUUCCUCACCGCUCCAUGUGGUCCCUCCUGAAGCUGUGUCCGGUCAAGAGGAGGACCAUCCCCAAUAGAGGAUUGUUUUUCCAUCAAGGGUAUAUGGGUAGCUGUGUUCCCCUGCUAGAACCUCCAAACAAGUUCUCAAGAAUUAUAUUCAUGAUAUUCACAAUUCAAAAGCAAUCCAAGAAUAUAUAAUGCAAAUCCUCCCUCUCAAUCCUUU